AGAGUUUGAUCCUGGCUCAGAGCGAACGCUAGCGGCGGGCCUCAAACAUGCAAGUCGAACGCGAAAAGGUAGCAAUACCGAGUAGAGUGGCGCACGGGUGAGUAACACGUAACUAACUUCCCCUCUCGCUGGGGAUAACUCCGGGAAACCGGAGCUAAUACCGAAUGAGCUUACGAAGACUGCGGUCUUUUUAAGCAAAGCCUUCGGGCGCGAGAGGAUAGGGUUGCGGCCUAUUAACUAGUUGGUGGGGUAACGGCCUACCAAGGUGACGAUAGGUAGCUGGUCUGAGAGGACGAUCAGCCACACUGGAACUGACACACGGUCCAGACUCCCACGGGAGGCAGCAGUUGGGAAUAUUGGACAAUGGGCGCAAGCCUGAUCCAGCCACGCCGCGUGAAUGAUGAAGGCCUUCGGGUCGUAAAGUUCUUUUGUAGGGGACAAAGGGAAACUUGAUGGUACCCUAAGAAAAAGCACCGGCUAACUCCGUGCCAGCAGCCGCGGUAAUACGGAGGGUGCAAGCGUUGCUCGGAAUUAUUGGGCGUAAAGCGUAUGUAGGCGGUUUUCUAAGUCUGAUGUGAAAUCCCAGGGCUUAACUCUGGAACUGCAUUGGAUACUGGAAAGCUAGAGGACGAUAGAGGAUGGUGGAAUUCCUGGUGUAGGGGUGAAAUCCGUAGAUAUCAGGAGGAACAUCAGUGGCGAAGGCGGCCAUCUGGAUCGUACCUGACGCUGAGAUACGAAAGCGUGGGGAGCAAACAGGAUUAGAUACCCUAGUAGUCC
RNAcentral lists this ribosomal RNA (777 nucleotides) under uncultured bacterium. RNAcentral's name for it is "bacterial SSU rRNA". It matches the Rfam family "Bacterial small subunit ribosomal RNA", at positions 8 to 796 of the family's 1533-position model. The record is from RNAcentral.